GCGUUGCCUUAAGCAUGCAAGUCGAACGGGAUUUCGAGUCGCAAGAUUUGUUUUCUAGUGGCGGACGGGUGAGGACAAGCAGGGAACGUACCCAGAACUUUGGGAUAGCUCGUCGAAAGACGGGGUAAUACCGAAUAUGAUCGCAAGAUCAAAGACGUAAGUCGGUUUUGGAGCGGCCUUGCACUUAUCAGCUAGUUGGUGGGGUAAAAGCCUACCAAGGCUACGACGAGUAGGGGGCGUGAGAGCGCGACCCUCCACAAUGGCACUGAGACACGGGCCAUACGUCUACGGACGGCAGCAACUGGGAAUAUUCGGCAAUGGACGAAAGUCUGACCGAGCGACGCCGCGUGAGGGAUUAAGGUUUUCGGAUCGUAAACCUCUUUUAUAUAGCCGUCGAGGCUAUAAGAAUAAGCACCUACAAACUACGUGAUCCCGAUGACAGAUCGGGAUUGGUGCGUAGAUACUGCAGUAAUGUAGUAUGAGAAAAUUUCGCUAUAUGCUGGAACACCUUGAUAUUUCCGCGAAUUAUUCCCGACGUAAGUCGGGACAAGUAUCAAGACAAUCAGCAGGCAACCCCGACUUAGUCGGGGGCGCCUCAGAGACUACACGCGAAACUCCCAAUGGUACAUUGGGAUGAUGAUAUAGUCCAUGUUUUGUGUCACCCCAAUGGGGUGGAACAAGGCCAGCAGUCGCGGUAAUACGUAGGGUGCAAGCGUUAUCCGGAUUUACUGGGCGUAAAGUGUCGUGUAGGCGGAUUUCCGCAUCGUAUCUGAAAGACCGAGGCUCAACCUCGGCAGUGGAUACGAGAUGGGGAGUCUUGGAGAGAUGGAGAGGCAAGGGGAACUCAUGGUGAAGCAGUGAAAUGCGUUGAUAUCAUGAGGAACACCAAAGGCGAAGGCACCUUGCUGGCCAUUUUCUGACGCUGAGACACGAAAGCUGGGGGAGCGAAGCAGAUUAGAGACCUGCGUAGUCCCAGCCCUAAACGCAUGUCUGCUAGAUGCCCCUUCGUAAGAGGGGGUGUCGUAAGCUAACGCGUUAAGCAGACCGCCUGGGGAGUACGAGCGCAAGCUUAAAACUCAAAGGAAUUGACGGGGACCCGCACAACCAGUGGAGCGUGUGGUUCAAUUCGAGACAAAGCGAAGGACCUCACCAGGGUUUGACAUGUUACCGUUUUAACCACCUGGAAACAGGAGGCUAUCCGCAAGGAUGGUAGCACAGCUGCUGCAUGGCUGUCGUCAGCUCGUGCCGUGGGGUGUUCCCUUAAGUGGGACAACGAGCGCAACCCCUAUCCAAUGUUACACGUAUCAUUGGAGACCGCCCUCGCUCAAAGUGCGAAAGAGUCGGAAGUCGUCAGUCUUCAGUCGUCAGACAAUUUGUCUGAAAGCUGAUGACUGAUAGCUGAAAGCUUUUUUGCUUUUUGAGCGAGGGAGGAAGGAGGGGACGACGUCAAGUCAGCACGGCGCUUAUACCCUGGGCCACACACACCCUACAAUGGCGAACAACAACGGGAUGCAAGCCGGUAACGGUAAGCAAAUCUCUGAAAUUUCGCCUCAAUUCAGAUUGAGGUCUGCAACCCGACCUCAUGAAGUUGGAAUUGGUAGUAAUCGCGGAUCAGCAGGCCGCGGUGAUACGU
Molecule: ribosomal RNA, 1633 nt
Filed under: uncultured bacterium
Lineage: Bacteria
Description: bacterial SSU rRNA
Rfam family: Bacterial small subunit ribosomal RNA
Source: RNAcentral